CACUAUUUGUUCUUAUAACGUUUAUUUGAAUAAGGUCGAGAGUUUGUCGGUUGCUAUCUCAGUACUUAUGUUGCUAUCGAGAUAAAAGUUCUUUUUGCCAGGUCACGAGAAGCAACAGAGUAGAACAAAUCACUUGGAAAAGCCAUUUUGAUACAACAUCGUAAGAGCUUCGUGUACGGAAA
Long non-coding RNA from Octopus sinensis (East Asian common octopus), 182 nucleotides. RefSeq lists it as uncharacterized. The transcript is spliced from 4 exons. The record is from RefSeq and is a predicted model, not a curated record. Lineage: Eukaryota; Metazoa; Mollusca; Cephalopoda; Octopoda; Octopodidae.